UAAAAGCUUGAUUUUGGCUUUUAUUUUACUAGUUUUUUAUUUUACAUGUAAGUUUUUGCGUGAAUUAAUUAAAUUUUAAUAAUAAUAAUUUUUAUCCGCAGUAUUUUGUAUUAAAUUUAAAGGUUAUUUUGAUUUGGUAAAAGUUAAAAAGUUCAGAAUAAACUUGUGCCAGCAUUCGCGGUUACACAAGUUGUGCAAGUAAAAAUUAUUGGUUAGUAGUAAAUUUUAUUAAAAUAAAAUUAAUUAAUUUAUUUAUAGGUGAAAUUUUAAAUUAUUAUUAAAUUUAUGUUAUUUAAAUGAAGCUAUGAAAUUUUUUAUAUUAAGACUAGGAUUAGAUACCCUAUUAUAAUAAACGUGGAUAUAAACCUGGGUAGUAAUAGUUAUGAUCUUGAAACCUAAAAAAUUUGGCGGUGCUUUAAUCUAUUUAGAGGAACCUGUUCCGUGAUCGAUAAUCCACGAUAAAUUUUACUUGAUUUUGUUUAACUUAUAUACCGUUGUUAUCAGAAUAUUUUAUAAGAAAAUAAUUUUCUUUAAUUUUUAUAAUGAUUUAUUUCAGAUCAAGGUGUAGUUUAUAAUUAAGAGGUAAUGGGUUACAAUAAAUUUAUUUAAAUGGAAAUAAAAGUGAAAUAUUUUAUUAAAGGUGGAUUUAAUAGUAAAUUUAAAAUAUAUAUUUUAAUUGAUAAAAGCUCUAAAGCAUGUACAUAUCGCCCGUCGCUCUUUUUAAUUAAAGAUAAGUCGUAACAUAGUAGAUGUACUGGAAAGUGUAUCUAGAAUGCA
Molecule: non-coding RNA, 777 nt
Filed under: Gatzara nigrivena
Lineage: Eukaryota; Metazoa; Arthropoda; Insecta; Neuroptera; Myrmeleontidae
Source: RNAcentral